This 492-nucleotide ribosomal RNA is filed under the name uncultured bacterium. RNAcentral describes it as "bacterial SSU rRNA". It matches the Rfam family "Bacterial small subunit ribosomal RNA", at positions 373 to 882 of the family's 1533-position model. The record is from RNAcentral.
GGGCGAAAGCCUGAUGCAGCAACGCCGCGUGAAGGAAGAAGGGUUUCGGCUCGUAAACUUCUAUCAACAGGGACGAAAAAAAUGACGGUACCUGAAUAAGAAGCCCCGGCUAACUACGUGCCAGCAGCCGCGGUAAUACGUAGGGGGCAAGCGUUAUCCGGAAUUACUGGGUGUAAAGGGAGAGUAGGCGGCAUGGUAAGUUAGAUGUGAAAGCCCGAGGCUUAACCUCGGGAUUGCAUUUAAAACUAUCAAGCUAGAGUACAGGAGAGGUAAGUGGAAUUCCUAGUGUAGCGGUGAAAUGCGUAGAUAUUAGGAAGAACACCAGUGGCGAAGGCGACUUACUGGACUGAAACUGACGCUGAGGCUCGAAAGCGUGGGGAGCGAACAGGAUUAGAUACCCUGGUAGUCCACGCUGUAAACGAUGAGUGCUAGGUGUCGGGGGGGAACCCUCGGUGCCGCAGCUAACGCAAUAAGCACUCCACCUGGGGAGUA